RNAcentral lists this ribosomal RNA (497 nucleotides) under uncultured bacterium. RNAcentral's name for it is "partial 16S ribosomal RNA". It matches the Rfam family "Bacterial small subunit ribosomal RNA", at positions 28 to 507 of the family's 1533-position model. The record is from RNAcentral.
GAUGAACGCUGGCGGCGUGCCUAAUACAUGCAAGUCGAGCGAACAGACGAGGAGCUUGCUCCUCUGACGUUAGCGGCGGACGGGUGAGUAACACGUGGAUAACCUACCUAUAAGACUGGGAUAACUUCGGGAAACCGGAGCUAAUACCGGAUAAUAUAUUGAACCGCAUGGUUCAAUAGUGAAAGACGGUUUUGCUGUCACUUAUAGAUGGAUCCGCGCCGCAUUAGCUAGUUGGUAAGGUAACGGCUUACCAAGGCAACGAUGCGUAGCCGACCUGAGAGGGUGAUCGGCCACACUGGAACUGAGACACGGUCCAGACUCCUACGGGAGGCAGCGGUAGGGAAUCUUCCGCAAUGGGCGAAAGCCUGACGGAGCAACGCCGCGGGAGUGAUGAAGGUCUUCGGAUCGUAAAACUCUGUUAUUAGGGAAGAACAAAUGUGUAAGUAACUAUGCACGCCUUGACGGUACCUAAUCAGAAAGCCACGGCUAACUACGUG